UUUAUAUACUUGAAGACGAGAAAAGAGAGAAUAGAACAGGGUCUCCCUGAGACCAUAUCCAUUGGCUGCGAGACAAAACAAGUGUGUGCUAUCAAUAUUGAUCAUGUUAACAGCAAAGCCAAGAAAGCCAGGUGGACACUCCCCGUUAGGUAAUCUUGGCUUUAGAAGGUCAAGCCUCCUUUGUGGGUCAUUGGCAAUAAAGUCACCAGCAUAUGGUCUCAAAUGUUCAAGACAAAUUACGAGAAACCGGCCAUCCAAGUUCCUCCCAAUUGAAGCACCAAGACCAUGAAGGCCAAGACUUUUGUUUAUGCAACCUUCCCUGUCAUAUGUUUCUAGCACCUUAACACCCUCGUAUGUUCUACAGACAAUUGCCAGCAUAGUUUCCAUUCCCAAGUACUCAGAGAGCAAUCUGCUAAGAUUAUCAUCAUCAACUUUUCCAAGCCGAGCAACAAUACCCAAUACAUCCUUGGUCAACAUGAGGUUGUAAGCCUGAAUACCAUGAUGUGUG
Molecule: unclassified non-coding RNA, 508 nt
Filed under: Hevea brasiliensis (rubber tree)
Lineage: Eukaryota; Viridiplantae; Streptophyta; Magnoliopsida; Malpighiales; Euphorbiaceae
Source: RNAcentral